AGCCAGUCGGCAAUCAAGCCUGUUGACCCUGAAGGUGUGGUUGGAUGAACUUGGACUGUCCUGAUACGCUGCAUAAAAUAAACAGAUAAUAUUACCAAGAAGAAAGAAAUGGCAUGAGAUGUUCUGCAUGUCUCAGGGUGCAUUGCAGUUACUUUAACCAUCUGACUGCAUCCUUUAUGACACACUUCGAGGACAGAUGAGACUUGAACCCUGUUCUUCUAGCUCAGAGGCUUCUUCAAAGAAAGAAUUGGAUUUAUAUCACACCUUUCAUGGUUACCAGAAUUCUUAAAGCACUUUACCCCCCGCACCCCCCAAUGAAGUACUUUAGAACAGUGAUCACUAUUACAGACCACGUGUUCCAGGACAAAGAAACCAGGAGUGCCUCAGUUUUGAUCACCACUGCAGUAGCUCUUUCUCAUCCCAGGAAUUACAGGACACCACAAUUUGCUACUGCCCUCCCAGAUUCCAUGUGCAGUGCAUAGCCUACCAUACUUCACUCAGAUGCAUGCAUGUGCUUCAACGCUGAGCGCUGGCUAGCUGUUAGCUGCACUUGGACAUAACCUCAACGACAAUUUAUAUGCAGAGAAUGUUAACCAUUGAUGGGGCACGAAGAGAGCAGGAGUAAAAUGAAGUUGAACAUGGGAGAGAAUGAAGAAAGCACGAGAAAAGCAGGAGUGUGGAAAGGGCAGGAGGAGGGAUGUGAGAAAGAACCACAGGAGUACGGCAAGUGAUAAUGAGGGAAAACCAUCUGUGACUUCACCACGUACUGAUUGGCUUGUAACUUGGUCACUUUGGGAAAAAGAAUACAAGCAUGGACUACUUUCUAAACGGUGAGAAAAUUCGUAA
Long non-coding RNA from Chiloscyllium plagiosum (whitespotted bambooshark), 846 nucleotides. RefSeq lists it as uncharacterized. NCBI's taxonomy places the organism in Eukaryota, Metazoa, Chordata, Chondrichthyes, Orectolobiformes, Hemiscylliidae. The record is from RefSeq and is a predicted model, not a curated record.